RNAcentral lists this ribosomal RNA (256 nucleotides) under uncultured bacterium. RNAcentral's name for it is "partial 16S ribosomal RNA". It matches the Rfam family "Bacterial small subunit ribosomal RNA", at positions 524 to 776 of the family's 1533-position model. The record is from RNAcentral.
GACGAACCGUGCGAACGUUAUUCGGAAUCACUGGGCUUAAAGCGCGUGUAGGCGGACGGGGACGUCGGUCGCUGAAAUCCCCCGGCUCAACCGGGGAACGGGCGCCGAAACGCCCCGUCUCGAGGGACGUAGGGGGACCUGGAACUUCCGGUGGAGCGGUGGAAAUGCGUUGAGAUCGGAAGGAACGCCCGUGGCGAAAGGCGAGGUCCUGGACGUCUACUGACGCUGAGACGCGAAAGCUAGGGGAGCGAACGGG